This 489-nucleotide long non-coding RNA is filed under the name Rattus norvegicus (Norway rat). RNAcentral describes it as "long non-coding RNA NONRATT004331". Lineage: Eukaryota; Metazoa; Chordata; Mammalia; Rodentia; Muridae. The record is from RNAcentral.
AGGUAAGAGUUGGUUAUUUUCUGAUGGCAGUAGCUGGACUCAACAGAAGCUGGUGAGCUUGUCUGUUCUUCCAUUUCUAAGCUACCCUCACCUAUUGCCAGAAGACAGGCUUGAUCAUUUGGAUCGUGCCCUGUCUAUCUGAAGUUUUCAGGGAACCAAACCAAUUCCCUCAAAGUCAUCAGAACCUGGAAAGCAGGCAGCAAACUCAGAGGGUCAGCCUCAAGACUCUGCAGGUGGAAUCUGUGGGAAACGACCCUGUUUCUAGAACCAAGAAUUCAUGUGGUGGAUAUGGCCAGGGCACACCAUGGAGAUGCUACUCUGCCAAGCAUCUUGGUCAACUUCAUCUUCCUGCAACUCCUGACUUCUGGAUAUGGAAAAUCAGAUUUCCGUGUCCUUGGACCUCCUGACCCACUUCUGGCCACAGUUGGGCAAGACAAAGAGUUGCCUUGCAAACUGUCACCCAACAUCAGCGCUGAGGGCAUGGAGCUG